CACUGUUCUCCAUGUUACAAAUAUACAGUUUCAGCAGACCAUGGUACAUAUUACAGAUUACAUUUUCCUGUUUUAAACAUACGGGGAUUUCUUUUUUUGACAAAUGCACUGUUGUUGCAGCGUCGGAGCAGGCGGAUCAUUGUUGGCCUAAAUCCCACAGCUGAGCAUGCUCCACUCUUUUUUGUGUGUGUGUGUGCAGAGGCAGCUGCAGACAGAUCCUCUGGGUUUGGUUUCCAUCGUGGACAAAUUUCAUGCCUUUGAAGUUAAGAUUGAUCUCCCGACAACAAAGAGACUUUCAGCCUGAGAGCAGCAACAGAGUUAGAAAAGGCACUGACGUGGAGAUUUCAAGUUGAAGCUCUUGAUGCAUCUAGACUUGUUCCUCCACACUGGGACGAGAUGACCUUCUAAUGACCUUUUCAUGAAAAAAACAUCGUUCUGACUCUGCAGCCUGUGCCUGGAAACCACAGAUGGUGCAGGGGAAUGUUGAUUCACGUGGUGCUGGAGGAGACCUUGCUGCAGAAGAUGAAUGCUGCUUCAUUGUGCUUCUUUGUGCUCAACUAAUUAUUCCUGUGACAAGUGUGACAUCAGCCCAGCUUUGAACAGAGGCUUCAACAGUAUUGAGUGGCUCAAGGUUGCAGUCUGAUGUGACUUUGAUUAGCUUGAAUCCCCGCUAUGAAAAGCUCCUGCUGCACCUACAGGAGGGUGUGUUGUGAAAUUACCUGUUGCUAAGGAACUGAAGUGACUUUAUGCAUAAGGAAAAAAAGGCUUUGCCAAGGUUUUCUAGCGAAAGAAUUUCUGCAGCAACCUUCUGUUAAGUCAAAUGAUAUCUACAUUUUUCAGAUGUGUUUACUUCAUGUGAAGUGCAGCUCAAAUAUCAAUGGAAACUAAGCGACAACAUCUUCCUCUUAAAGGAUUUUUAAUAUUCUCAAAGUAGUUUCUUAUAGUGAAAAAGAAAGGCUACCUGUCCUGUGUUUCCAGCACUGCAUUAACAGGGCUGUGAUAAUGAUAAUAAUGUAUGUGUUACUCGUUCACUCCUUAGCAUAUUGUUUUUAUUUUUACCUCUCAUUACAUUUCACAGCUGUCCAAAUGGGUUUUGUGAAGGAAAAAAAACCAUCCCUUUUAACUGAAGGAUGUAGAGGUGUUGGGAAACGACGCCCACAUGUUUGGCCUUGGAAUGAGUUGUCAUUGUCACUAUGGUGAUUAAAUCAUCCCCCGCUGGAUGAUAGAAAUGUUUCCCAGCGAUUUGACAUUUGAAUAUCUGGUCUGAAGUGUUAUACACACAGAAUGUGGAGGUAACUAAAUCUAAGUACAACAUCUUUCUGGCAACAUCUUGUCAAAGAAAUGUUUUAAUACAGUAAUGAAACUUCUGUCUAUUUAAAGUUAGUGUGUUCAACAAUGAGGAAAAAAACACAACAUUGUAAAACAUGAGCUUUAACAUUUGAGCUGACUGCUUCAAGACAUUUUUAAAAUGAAUCUUAUUUCAUAUUUAUGGGCUGAGGUUCCAUCUAAACAAAUGAGUUUUUUCAGCCUGUAACACUAGAUGUAUAAAGUGUCUGCUGCCUAAUAUCAAAAGAAAUCACUGUGGAGUCAGGAUAGCAGAAGUCUUCUGAUGAUGCUCUCUGAAUUCUCAGUUCAGUUCAGUUUUGGGGUUUUUUCCCAACAUUUUUGCAAAACUUCAGCCAAAAUUUCUUAAAUAUUUCAAACGUUUUAACACUUUCAUAAAAAUUAUUCAUUGGUCUUGAAAUGUUUUGGAUCCUAGACUUUUUACACUUUGCUUCUUUUUGUGUU
Non-coding RNA from Labrus bergylta (ballan wrasse), 1788 nucleotides. The record is from RefSeq and is a predicted model, not a curated record. NCBI's taxonomy places the organism in Eukaryota, Metazoa, Chordata, Actinopteri, Labriformes, Labridae.